GGACCCGCACAAGUAGUGGAGCAUGUGGUUUAAUUCGAAGAUACGCGCAGAACCUUACCAACACUUGACAUGUUCGUCGCGACUCUAAGAGAUUAGAGUUUUCGGUUCGGCCGGACGAAACACAGGUGCUGCAUGGCUGUCGUCAGCUCGUGUCGUGAGAUGUUGGGUUAAGUCCCGCAACGAGCGCAACCCUCACUUUUAGUUGCCAUCAUUAAGUUGGGCACUCUGAAAGAACUGCCAGUGAUAAGCUGGAGGAAGGUGGGGAUGACGUCAAAUCAUCACGGCCCUUACGUCCUGGGCUACACACGUGCUACAAUGGCCGGUACAGAGAGCAGCCACUUCGCAAGAAGGAGCG
This 355-nucleotide ribosomal RNA is filed under the name uncultured bacterium. Its description in RNAcentral is "bacterial SSU rRNA". It matches the Rfam family "Bacterial small subunit ribosomal RNA", at positions 917 to 1269 of the family's 1533-position model. The record is from RNAcentral.